This 497-nucleotide ribosomal RNA is filed under the name uncultured bacterium. RNAcentral's name for it is "partial 16S ribosomal RNA". It matches the Rfam family "Bacterial small subunit ribosomal RNA", at positions 28 to 507 of the family's 1533-position model. The record is from RNAcentral.
GAUGAACGCUGGCGGCGUGCCUAAUACAUGCAAGUCGAGCGAACAGACGAGGAGCUUGCUCCUCUGACGUUAGCGGCGGACGGGUGAGUAACACGUGGAUAACCUACCUAUAAGACUGGGAUAACUUCGGGAAACCGGAGCUAAUACCGGAUAAUAUAUUGAACCGCAUGGUUCAAUAGUGAAUGACGGUUUUGCUGUCACUUAUAGAUGGAUCCGCGCCGCAUUAGCUAGUUGGUAAGGUAACGGCUUACCAAGGCAACGAUGCGUAGCCGACCUGAGAGGGUGAUCGGCCACACUGGAACUGAGACACGGUCCAGACUCCUACGGGAGGCAGCAGUGGGGAAUCUUCCGCAAUGGGCGAAAGCUUGACGGAGCAACGCCGCGUGAGUGAUGAAGGUCUUCGGAUCGUAAAACUCUGUUAUUAGGGAAGAACAAAUGUGUAAGUAACUAUGCACGUCUUGACGGUACCUAAUCAGAAAGCCACGGCUAACUACGUG